RNAcentral lists this ribosomal RNA (402 nucleotides) under uncultured bacterium. Its description in RNAcentral is "bacterial SSU rRNA". It matches the Rfam family "Bacterial small subunit ribosomal RNA", at positions 355 to 775 of the family's 1533-position model. The record is from RNAcentral.
UAGGGAAUAUUAGUAAUGGGCGAAAGCCUGAACUAGCAACGCCGCGUGUGCGAAGAAGGCCUUCGGGUUGUAAAGCACUUUUUGAGAGGAUGAGGAAGGACGGUACUCUCAGAAUAAGUCUCGGCUAACUACGUGCCAGCAGCCGCGGUAACACGUAGGAGGCGAACGUUAUCCGGAUUUACUGGGCGUAAAGCGCGUGUAGGUGGUUUGGUAAGUAGGGCGUGAAAGCUCCUGGCUCAACUGGGAGAGGCCGUUCUAAACUGCCGAACUGAGGAAGGGAGAGGGGGGGGGGAAUUCGGGUGUAGCGGUGGAAUGCGCAGAUAUCCGGAGGAACACCAGUGGCGAAAGCGGCCUCCUGGACCAUUCCUGACACUCAGACGCGAAAGCUAGGGUAGCAAACGG